Molecule: ribosomal RNA, 253 nt
Filed under: uncultured bacterium
Lineage: Bacteria
Description: partial 16S ribosomal RNA
Rfam family: Bacterial small subunit ribosomal RNA
Source: RNAcentral
UACGUAGGGUGCGAGCGUUGUCCGGAAUUACUGGGCGUAAAGAGCUCGUAGGUGGUUUGUCGCGUUGUUCGUGAAAUCUCACGGCUUAACUGUGAGCGUGCGGGCGAUACGGGCAGACUAGAGUACUGCAGGGGAGACUGGAAUUCCUGGUGUAGCGGUGGAAUGCGCAGAUAUCAGGAGGAACACCGGUGGCGAAGGCGGGUCUCUGGGCCGAUAUUGACGCUGAGGAGCGAAAGCGUGGGGAGCAAACAGG